GUAGUCCACGCCGUAAACUAUGGAUGCUAGCUGUAGGGCGCUCGACCCGUCCUGUAGCGAAGCUAACGCGUUAAGCAUCCCGCCUGGGAAGUACGGUCGCAAGAUUAAAACUCAAAGGAAUUGACGGGGACCCGCACAAGCGGUGGAGCGUGUUCUUUAAUUCGAUGAUAAUCGAAGAACCUUACCCAGACUUGACAUCCUGCGAAGGAUUCCGAAAGGAAUUUGUGCCUUCGGGAGCGCAGUGACAGGUGCUGCAUGGCCGUCGUCAGCUCGUGUCGUGAGAUGUUGGGUUAAGUCCCGCAACGAGCGCAACCCUUAUGGUUAGUUGUAUUUUUCUAGCCAGACUGCCCCGGUAACGGGGAGGAAGGAGGGGAUGAUGUCAGGUCUUUAUUGCCCUUACGUCUGGGGCUAGAAACGCGCUACAAUGGCCGGUACAAUGGGCAGCCAACCCGCGAGGGGGAGCAAAUCCCAUCAAAACCGGUCCCAAUUCGGAUUGCAGGCUGAAACUCGCCUGCAUGAAGCCGGAAUCGCUAGUAAUCGCAGAUCAGCAUGCCGCGGUGAAUACGUUCCCGGGUCUUGUACACACCGCCCGUCAAGCCACGAAAGUCACCAACACCCGAAGUCCUAUCUUGUAUAGGCCUAAGGUGGGGGGGAUGAUUGGGGUU
Molecule: ribosomal RNA, 665 nt
Filed under: uncultured bacterium
Lineage: Bacteria
Description: bacterial SSU rRNA
Rfam family: Bacterial small subunit ribosomal RNA
Source: RNAcentral